CUCCGGGCGAGGGAUUCCACCGCUCCGGGUUUUGUUCGGGCUGGGAAAAUGGGCGCUCUGCAAUCGCUGGAGCAGGUCAGGUGGUCCAGCCUGGGCCUUUGAGGUCGUUAUCUUCUUUUUCCAGGCCCGAAGACUCCUUCAUUCCCAGCCCAGGUGCUACACCUAGGAAAGUCUUUACUUCUUUUAUCACUGGACAAGUGUAUACAUAUAUUUAAGAUGAAGUAUGGCAAAAAUUCAAAGAAGGAUAAAUAUGCAAUGCAUACAAUAUAGAUAAACCUUGAAAAUAUUUCAGUGAAGACAAGAAGGCUGAUGAAAAGAAUAACAACAACAACAGCAACAAAAAAAACCAAGCAAACUAACAAACAAACAAAAAAGUAUGUUGCAUAAUUCUGUUUUAAAGGAGGCAAAGAAUUUGAAAGCACAAAGAAUCAGAAAGUAGAUUAGUAGUUACCAGGGCUCAGGGAGAAAUGAACGGAAAGUGACAGCUAAUAAAUAUGGAUUUCUUAUCA
RNAcentral lists this long non-coding RNA (509 nucleotides) under Bos indicus x Bos taurus (hybrid cattle). RNAcentral's name for it is "lncRNA (ENSBIXG00000014199.1)". Lineage: Eukaryota; Metazoa; Chordata; Mammalia; Artiodactyla; Bovidae. The record is from RNAcentral.